Molecule: ribosomal RNA, 387 nt
Filed under: uncultured bacterium
Lineage: Bacteria
Description: bacterial SSU rRNA
Rfam family: Bacterial small subunit ribosomal RNA
Source: RNAcentral
AUUGAACGCUGGCGGCAUGCUUUACACAUGCAAGUCGAACGGCAGCGCGGGGGCAACCCUGGCGGCGAGUGGCGAACGGGUGAGUAAUGCAUCGGAACGUAUCCUGUAAUGGGGGAUAACGUAGCGAAAGUUACGCUAAUACCGCAUACGCUCGAGAGAGGAAAGUGGGGAUCGCAAGACCUCACGUUAUAGGAGCGGCCGAUGUCCGAUUAGCUAGUUGGUGGGUAAAGGCCUACCAAGGCGACGAUCGGUAGCUGGUCUGAGAGGAUGAUCAGCCACACUGGGACUGAGACACGGCCCAGACUCCUACGGAGGCAGCAGUGGGGAAUUUUGGACAAUGGGCGAAAGCCUGAUCCAGCCAUGCCGCGUGCGGGAAGAAGGCCUCGG